RNAcentral lists this ribosomal RNA (775 nucleotides) under Salmonella enterica subsp. enterica serovar Saintpaul. Its description in RNAcentral is "partial 23S ribosomal RNA". It matches the Rfam family "Bacterial large subunit ribosomal RNA", at positions 2168 to 2925 of the family's 2925-position model. Lineage: Bacteria; Pseudomonadati; Pseudomonadota; Gammaproteobacteria; Enterobacterales; Enterobacteriaceae. The record is from RNAcentral.
ACGCCAGUCUGCAUGGAGCCGACCUUGAAAUACCACCCUUUAAUGUUUGAUGUUCUAACGUGGACCCGUGAUCCGGGUUGCGGACAGUGUCUGGUGGGUAGUUUGACUGGGGCGGUCUCCUCCUAAAGAGUAACGGAGGAGCACGAAGGUUGGCUAAUCCUGGUCGGACAUCAGGAGGUUAGUGCAAUGGCAUAAGCCAGCUUGACUGCGAGCGUGACGGCGCGAGCAGGUGCGAAAGCAGGUCAUAGUGAUCCGGUGGUUCUGAAUGGAAGGGCCAUCGCUCAACGGAUAAAAGGUACUCCGGGGAUAACAGGCUGAUACCGCCCAAGAGUUCAUAUCGACGGCGGUGUUUGGCACCUCGAUGUCGGCUCAUCACAUCCUGGGGCUGAAGUAGGUCCCAAGGGUAUGGCUGUUCGCCAUUUAAAGUGGUACGCGAGCUGGGUUUAGAACGUCGUGAGACAGUUCGGUCCCUAUCUGCCGUGGGCGCUGGAGAACUGAGGGGGGCUGCUCCUAGUACGAGAGGACCGGAGUGGACGCAUCACUGGUGUUCGGGUUGUCAUGCCAAUGGCACUGCCCGGUAGCUAAAUGCGGAAGAGAUAAGUGCUGAAAGCAUCUAAGCACGAAACUUGCCCCGAGAUGAGUUCUCCCUGAGACUUUAGGUCUCCUGAAGGAACGUUGAAGACGACGACGUUGAUAGGCCGGGUGUGUAAGCGCAGCGAUGCGUUGAGCUAACCGGUACUAAUGAACCGUGAGGCUUAACCUUACAACGCCGAAG